This 432-nucleotide ribosomal RNA is filed under the name Triticum aestivum (bread wheat). RNAcentral describes it as "partial small subunit ribosomal RNA". The record is from RNAcentral. Lineage: Eukaryota; Viridiplantae; Streptophyta; Magnoliopsida; Poales; Poaceae.
AUGCUCAACCUCCAUUGGCAUUUUCUGGUAUAUAAUGUAAUUUUUUUGCGGGGGAGGGGUAUAUAUGGCGGAGUAGCUUUUCUUUUCAACAGUGUUCUCGCCGAAUGGCGGCCCCGUGAAGCCAUGGCGUAUGCGCUGGCUUUGUUUCUUCCUCCCGGCUUGAUGCCUUUCGGGAGGCAGCUAUUCAGCUUCGGUAUGGAGUCUCCCUCUUCCGUCUUCGGCCGGAGAUGGAGUGGUGGCGGUCCGGUGAUCCCAAGUGGUCUUGUCCACGGUGAUGGCCGGACUGGAUCUGCGCUUGAGCUGGCAUUUGGACCCAAUUGUAAUCUUGAUUCUCUGUAUAGGGUCCUCCUUGCAAGUUUCAGGGACUAUGUUGUAGUUUUAUUUUCCUUUGAGUCCUGGUCUGAGCUUUGUACUGCAGCUGCUGGAAAAUAA